GACGAACGCUGGCGGCGUGCUUAACACAUGCAAGUCGAACGGAAAGGCCCUGCUUUUGUGGGGUGCUCGAGUGGCGAACGGGUGAGUAACACGUAAGUAACCUGCCCUUGACUUUGGGAUAACUUCAGGAAACUGGGGCUAAUACCGGAUAGGAGCUCCUGCUGCAUGGUGGGGGUUGGAAAGUUUCGGCGGUUGGGGAUGGACUCGCGGCUUAUCAGCUUGUUGGUGGGGUAGUGGCUUACCAAGGCUUUGACGGGUAGCCGGCCUGAGAGGGUGACCGGCCACAUUGGGACUGAGAGACGGCCCAGACUCCUACGGGAGGCAGCAGUGGGGAAUAUUGCACAAUGGGCGGAAGCCUGAUGCAGCAACGCCGCGUGCGGGAUGACGGCCUUCGGGUUGUAAACCGCUUUCGCCUGUGACGAAGCGUGAGUGACGGUAAUGGGUAAAGAAGCACCGGCUAACUACGUG
RNAcentral lists this ribosomal RNA (468 nucleotides) under uncultured bacterium. RNAcentral's name for it is "partial 16S ribosomal RNA". It matches the Rfam family "Bacterial small subunit ribosomal RNA", at positions 28 to 507 of the family's 1533-position model. The record is from RNAcentral.